UACGAAGGGGGCUAGCGUUGUUCGGAAUUACUGGGCGUAAAGCGCACGUAGGCGGAUACUUAAGUCAGGGGUGAAAUCCCGGGGCUCAACCCCGGAACUGCCUUUGAUACUGGCAACCUUGAGUCCGGGAGAGGUGAGUGGAACUGCGAGUGUAGAGGUGAAAUUCGUAGAUAUUCGCAAGAACACCAGUGGCGAAGGCGGCUCACUGGCCCGGUACUGACGCUGAGGUGCGAAAGCGUGGGGAGCAAACAGG
Molecule: ribosomal RNA, 253 nt
Filed under: uncultured bacterium
Lineage: Bacteria
Description: partial 16S ribosomal RNA
Rfam family: Bacterial small subunit ribosomal RNA
Source: RNAcentral